AAGAUAUUCUCAUAAAGUAAUUCUGGGGCCCUAUUACAAAUAUGUAGACUAUAACUUAAAAACUAUGUGGGACUAAAGUUUAUCGACUGAAAACUUGAACCCAGCUAAACUUCUCAACCAACUUAACGGUAAGGUUCUCUUCCUGAAGCCCCACGUACAAGCCCCGCAAGCACAGGGAUUCCUUCACGUAUAAGUCCUUCCCCAUUAAAAUCUUCCUUGUCCUAAAGGUAGAAAGGUGGGAAAUCAAACCUUGAGUGCCUGGUAAUCUUCCCAUGUUUCUUGCUCUGGUGGUAAGCCAUUCCACUGAACCAGCACUUGAGCUACAACUUUGUUGUCAUUCUGAAUCAUACGAUGCUCCAAAAUUUUAUCAGGUUGAGGAGAAUAUGCGCUAGAAAGUUCUAUGAUAGGGGGAUGUGAAAUACUACUUGGUAGCUUAUAACAUGCCUUGAAUUGUGACACAUGAAAAGUGGGAUGAAGCAGCAGUUGAGGGGGUAAAGAAAGCUUGUAACCGACUGGUCCAAACUUCUGUAAAAUUUGGUAAGGGCCAUAAAAUUUAGCUGAAAGUUUAGGGAAGUGUGUGGAUGGAAUUGUGACCUGUCUGUAAGGUUGAAUCUUUAAG
RNAcentral lists this long non-coding RNA (619 nucleotides) under Nicotiana benthamiana. RNAcentral describes it as "long non-coding RNA (NBEN_LNC003007)". The record is from RNAcentral. Lineage: Eukaryota; Viridiplantae; Streptophyta; Magnoliopsida; Solanales; Solanaceae.